CUUCAGCUUUGGGCCACAGCUAGUUCCAUGAACAGUUAGUUUUAUCAUUUUGGUUAAAUGUAUGACAGACAAGUUAUAUUUGCGGGUUACAGACUUAAAAGCUUUAUAUGAGGCAAAAAUUCCAAAUACCUCCAAGAAGCACAUAUUUAUUGCUUAUUAAUCCCUCUGGUUCUUGCCAUCACAAUCCACCCCUUGCUUCUUUGGAGCAUUUGGUAAGGCUUACAAAUAUGAUUUCUGCCAGGUGGUGUAUACAUGGUUGGCAGAAGCAACAACAUUUACUUUGGCAUGAGUAUUAAACUUCAUUUUAUAACAACAACGUUUAAAGAUUAUAUUGAAUAAUAAUAUUCCUAUGACUAAACUUAGUACUCCUACAAACCAAGGAAAAGCAGCACCUUUAGUAAAGGUAUACAUUUGCACAGUACAGACCACUUCACACCACUUACGCAGCGGGGGAAUAUUAGUAGCGCAUUUAAUAAUUCGCCCUCCCUCUUGAGCUAUGAGGGCAAGUUGUUUUCCUUUUGGGGCAUCUUCGAACAAACCUUUUAUGUGGGCCACUACUUUACCCCAUUCCUUUAGCUGGGGCAUGUCUACAUCUUUAACCCAGGAUUUUGGAAGGCUUAGGUUAAGGGUGACGCUUUCUAAUUGGGUUUUCGGCCACAUUAAGGUGGCUUCCUGGUCUUGGACGUAUAGGGUAGCUGAUUCCCCUGGGAAAUCUUGAGCUUCUGCA
Molecule: long non-coding RNA, 727 nt
Organism: Gavialis gangeticus (Gharial)
Lineage: Eukaryota; Metazoa; Chordata; Crocodylia; Gavialidae
Exons: 3
Source: RefSeq, a predicted model, not a curated record